RNAcentral lists this ribosomal RNA (253 nucleotides) under uncultured bacterium. Its description in RNAcentral is "partial 16S ribosomal RNA". It matches the Rfam family "Bacterial small subunit ribosomal RNA", at positions 524 to 776 of the family's 1533-position model. The record is from RNAcentral. RNAcentral also lists the same sequence under 1 other name.
UACGUAGGGGGCAAGCGUUGUCCGGAAUCAUUGGGCGUAAAGCGCGUGUAGGCGGCUCGGGUAGUCUGGUGUGAAAUCUUUCGGCUCAACCGGAAGCGGUCACUGGAUACUCUCGGGCUUGAGUCCGGAAGAGGAGAGUGGAAUUCCUGGUGUAGCGGUGGAAUGCGCAGAUAUCAGGAGGAACACCAAUGGCGAAGGCAGCUCUCUGGUACGUGACUGACGCUGAGACGCGAAAGCGUGGGGAGCGAACAGG